UGUCUUAAAAACUUCAAAUGACCAUGGGCAGGUAAAAACCUUUAUAACAGUAUUAUGUAAUCUAUCAUAAAAGUUAGCAUAUAUACCACAUAUUUCAGACCUGUUUUUGAUGGAGAUUGUGAAAAAUUGUUUAAAGGAUACUGUAAAGUGAAUGAGUCUGUGUUUGUUCAGAUCUUUGAAAUCUGAAAUAUAUUGUCAGUGGUAGUAAUUAAAAUGGACUCCUGUUAUAGUAUCCCACAGGAACAUUUCUCACAGGAAAUCCCGAAGGCACUGCUGCUGAUAACUUCUGAUGCCCACCCCUGUUUGUGCCAGCAAAUUGGGCAGUGAAACCAUGCGGGUUUUUUGGGGGAGAAGCUCGUACGUUUUUGACAGAUAAGAAAGAACGCGAUGUUCGCUGCACAUCUUGUAGCAGAAGACGGUCUGUUUAGACCUACCCAUUUGCACCAGAAAACAAUGCAGUCAUUUCUGUUACAGGAAUUUUGUGUGACUUCCAAGAGAGUUCAAAGUGGAAUCAGCCGACAGAACUGCAUUUAAUAAGCUGUGGUGGCUGAAGCAGCAUGCACACGAUGUCUGUGAUGCCACUCAAAGCGUUUUGGCACAUGACCUGUAUACAGUAUACCCAUGCCAUCAGGAAAUUGAAAACUUCCCUGGAAAAAAAAGUAUUCAAUAUUCUGUAUUGGUUGCAGUUGUUCCUUGUUUUAUUCUCACAUCUGCAUUUUUUUUUAACAGCUUCGAUGGUCUCUGGCAGCCUGUUUGUUAUAAUGGUGGUGAGACAAAUAGUGCACAUGUGAAGUCUUAACAAGUUCUUUAUUGCAGAAAUCUGCUGCUUAUCUCUGCAGCCAAAACUAAAUUGCCUACAGUAUACUUUAAUUGGAAAACUUUAACCUGACUUUCACCUCUUCUCUUCAGUGGUAGUGUAUCUAAAUGUCUUUGAUGAUACAAAAAACAACUUUUGUUUCUGUUCUUUCUGCCUGAUUAUAACCAUACCAUUAGUUCGGACGAGCUAACAAUGAAACAAGCAUCUUAGGGAAACCCUCAUGUUGUGACCUGAUACAAUCUAAUGUUUAUUGCUCUGCUAAGACCAUCAAUCCAUUUCGUAGAUUUAUAUUUCGACUCAAACCACCUUCCACAAUCUUUGCUUCUGUUAACAGAUUUGUAGAAUACCUCCUUUAUUAACGUUUAUUAACACGAGCUUCAGUUCUGCUAUGCAAGAAGUUAACUAAGAAUUCUCUAUCUGUCUUAAUUUCAACCAAGUGUGCUGAUCUAGCAAAGGUAAAAUAUAUCUACACUUUAUACAGCCUUUUAUAACUUCAUUUCUAACUGCUUCUGAGAAGAAAGAGAAAUAGCUAAUUAUCUGGUUCUUGACACCUCCAGAAACCUCCAGAAACUCCAGAAACUCUGGUACUGAGUAUCACCUUCAGUGAGCUACCAUUUUCUACUGUGCUGCUUCAGAAGAUCCUGAAAAGACAAAGAGAAAAUGUCUCUUGACUAACACUGGAAAGACGCUGCUUUGGUCUGGUCAAAAUCCAACAUUGAUUCAUUGAUUUAAGUUUUGCUUGAUAGAUUAAUUGAUUGAUUGCAUUUAACAACACAGCUUUAAUCAAUAAAGCUUAAAACAUCAAGCCUUCACCUUAGUGUUAGCAUUUGUGCACUAGAGGGGGCUUUCAAGUCCCCUUGGCAGGAUAUGGCUUUUCCAAAUAUCCAGCAAUUGGUAUUUUUCUUUGCAACGUGUAGUCCAAACAUUAAAACAUUGCAGUUAAAAUACCAACAUGUGGAAUAAAACGUUGAGUUAAUAUCACAUACAUUUUGAGGGCUACAACAGAUAAUUUAUAAGCAAACAUUUCAAACAUUUUAGGUUUGUUUAAUGAGUGAAAAAUAGGGCUUUGCGUUUUAAAGCUGGGUAAUUGCUGGGUAAUACAUAAUUUUAUGCACAUUCUUAUUUCCAUUCUGAUGAAAUGUAAGUGAAACGGUUGGUUGAGUAAGCCGAUCCAUCCUAAGUGUCCAUCAGAAUUAUGCUCUGGAGGGAUUCGACAGCUCUGCUGUACCGAGGUUUAUUUUUUUUAAUUAUGUAAAAAAAAUGGGAAAAUGUUUAAAGAGAUCAAUCAGGACUAAUUGCUUACAGCCUUCAGAUUUUUACUUAAGCAAGUCAAUUAUCUGAAUCUCUGAGGUAAAUUAACAUCAGUAAAGCAGUUCAUUUUGUAGAAUGUAUUUUAGUCCCACAAAUAUUAUAAUUUAUAAAUGAUAAAUUACUAAAAAGCAGAGUACAUCUUGGGAUACAUAUUUAUGUUGGUGAAACAUUUCGUGAUUUAUUAUCUUUUUGGAGAAUUAAUAUUUGUGUCAUUUGAUUUCUGCAGCAUGUAAUUGAAUGACAGUAGUAAAGCUGUGCAGUUAUGGUCAUGUGAAUGUAACACGGCUGCCAUAACUUCUAUAGUGGCCUCAUGGUGAGGAAUAACAUUUCAACAGCUGCAAGAUGAACAUCUGGAGUGCUAUUCCACUGAAGUGGAUUAUGAGAAAAUCUCAUUUUGAAUACUGGAAACAGAACCUUAAAAUAAAUCUGCUUUCUUAUUAUGGUGUUGCAUUCACAUUUGAUGCUCUUAAUGAACAUGAAAUUUAAUUUUAUUUCUCUAUCCCUAAAUUAAUUUCUGUAUUCACCUUUUAAAGUAAGGCAUGUUCUAAAAUAAGGUUACAGUUUUUAAAUGGUCCAUCAUGAUCAUAGCAUGAAAUAAGAAUAAGCAUAUAUGUAUCUGAAUAUGUAAUAUUGAUUAUGUAACCAUAAGAUAUUUCCUUUUUUUGGCACUGUUUAUUAAAGAUACUUUUGUUUGGAUCAUCCCACAGAUAAUCAUCUGAUGUUAACACUGUUUCUUGACAAAAAUAACUAUUUUUUUCCUAAAAUCUUUGAUUGUGUUUUUGCCAUAAUCAAAAGAAUGCUUCAUGGCACAGUCUAUUUAAUUUUAAACAUGGAUACAUUUUUGCUCUUAAUUGUUGUCUGAUAACACCAAACCUUUGUUUUGUAGAAAAGUAGAGAACUCUGCCAACCCCGGGCAUCCUCAGGUCAAAAGAAAACUAAGAAGCUAAUAAAGCAGACUGUUCAAAUUAUGUGAUACGAUUAUAACCACAUUAAAUCAAUAUGCAAAAAACAAUUCAAUUCCAAACAAUGUAAACU
Lepisosteus oculatus (spotted gar) is the source of this 3163-nucleotide long non-coding RNA. RefSeq lists it as uncharacterized. Lineage: Eukaryota; Metazoa; Chordata; Actinopteri; Semionotiformes; Lepisosteidae. The record is from RefSeq and is a predicted model, not a curated record.